Non-coding RNA from Megalopta genalis, 1404 nucleotides. NCBI's taxonomy places the organism in Eukaryota, Metazoa, Arthropoda, Insecta, Hymenoptera, Halictidae. The record is from RefSeq and is a predicted model, not a curated record.
UUCGAGAGAUAAUCGAGAGUAUAGUAGUGCCUCACGUCUGUAUAGGCUGGUAUAUAUUAUGUAUAAGCUUUACUGUAAUUGUAAAUAUAUCAUAUAAGAACCAUGAAUGAAAUACAGAGCCACGUGAUCUUUUAGGUCUUAUCGCUCUGUAUUUAGCCGAUGACUGUUCCACCACCAGGACCCACUUGUGAACGAGUCGAUGUCUAUUCCACCGCCGCGCCGGGACUUCGCAGAAUUGGUAAGGUGAAUAUCCUCUCCGACUCUGUGGACAGGAAGGAGGAGACCAAAUGCACCAUUCCUGGAUACGAGCCGAUCUUCCGAGUCUAGGGCUAUCAGGGAUGCUCAUUCCAGGGAUCCCCAGGCCCGUAAGGAGUUGCCGAUGCUGUCGGCUAAAUACUACCCUUUACUGUGAUGCAAAAAUUUUGACGAUUCGUCCGAUCGCCAUUGAUUUCGAUUAGGGAGGCUCAGCGUGGGUGAGAUUUCGCGAUUCUGACUCCGAACUGGGUCUGUGGUUCGACUUUUACGUGCAAUAUCGGACGGGACAGCGCGUCGACCAUCUUGCAUUGUUCGAGAUUUUAAGGUGGAGCGAUCUCGUUCUGCGGACAUCACGAAGCAGAGCAAAAGAGAGAAAACUGGUCGACCGAGGAAGCACUGAUUGCAUCGCCGCCUCUAUCUGUUUGGUACCUAAAAGAGGGUACAGCACAAGAUCGGGACAAUUCCGGUCUUAUGGCUGAUUUUAUCAUCAUUAUGAUAACGUAACGUUUGGUAAACAUGCAUCUAUUUAAUCAGUAAACCAACUGCUACCACUAUAUGUUGUGACGUUGCAGAAAUGUGACAAGAUUAUCGAAAAUUAUCGCGAACGAUAACGUAUUCCGAGAACAUGAAAGGUGUGCCCGCCGUUAGGACUUCGGACUUCGGACUUCGAGGCGUUUCUCGCCCUUCGCCGAGACCGGAAGCGACGGAAAGGAUUUCACGUAGUAUUAAGUUCUAAUCGCAUUUGAAAGUUUUUCUCGGGGAAGUGCGUAGCAUUGUGAGAAGUGCAAUCGUCGUACUCUUGUUGCGCCCGGAUAGAUUAGAAAAACUGCGAGCGCGCGCCAGUGCACCGAAGCGUAGCAUGUACGACCCUCCGCGCGUGGGCGGAGGCGAUCUCUGGGUUCUCUCGUUCAGUUAAUUGUAUCCGCGCCGAAAUACCGUACGUUGCGACUUCGCGUCUCUUUGAAACGGCCUGUACCACCGUGCUGUGUUACCGUACGGUCGCGAUAAAUUCUCGUUAUGACAAUCUUGCUCUACGACCGAGUAACUGUCACCGAAAAAUUGUAUAAAGAGCGCGGGCUUCGGGUGCGGCCUCGUGGCCGCCUAUUUUGUAAAUUUGACCAGGAUUAAAUGUUAAUCUCGAGCCCUAAA